This 468-nucleotide ribosomal RNA is filed under the name uncultured bacterium. RNAcentral describes it as "partial 16S ribosomal RNA". It matches the Rfam family "Bacterial small subunit ribosomal RNA", at positions 28 to 507 of the family's 1533-position model. The record is from RNAcentral.
GACGAACGCUGGCGGCGUGCUUAACACAUGCAAGUCGAACGGACAGGCCCUGCUUUUGUUGGUUGCUCGAUUGGCGAACGGGUGAGUGACACGUGAGUAACAUGCCCUUGACUUUGGGGUAACUUCAGGGAACUGGGGCUAAUACCGCAUAGGAGCUCCUGCUGCAUGGUGGGGGUUGGAAAGUUUCGGCGGUUUGGGAUCGACUCGCGGCUUAUCCGCUUGUUGGUGGGGUAGUUGCUUACCAAGGCUUUGACGGGUAGCCGGCCUGAGAGGGUGACCGGGGACAAUGGGACUGAGGUACGGAGCAGACGGCUACGGGAGGCAGUAGUGGGGAAUAUGGCAGAAUGGGCGGAAGUCAGAUGCAGCGACGUUGCGUGCGGGAUGACCGGUUUCGGGGUGUGAACCGCUGUCGCAGGAGACGAAGAGGGAGUGACGGUAAUGGGUAAAGAAGCAACGGCUAACUACGUG